Equus caballus (horse) is the source of this 1759-nucleotide long non-coding RNA. The record is from Ensembl. Lineage: Eukaryota; Metazoa; Chordata; Mammalia; Perissodactyla; Equidae.
GUUAUUUCUUGUCUUUUUAAUAAUAGCGAUUCUGACAGGUGUGAGGUGAUAUCUCAACAUAGUUUUGAUUUGUAUUUCCCAAAUAAUUAGUGAUGUUGAACAUCUUUUCAUGUGUUUAUUGGCCAUCUGUAUAUCUUCUUUGGAAAAAUGUCUGUUCAUAUCCUCUGCCCAUUUUUUGAUUGGGUUGUUCAUUUUUGUUGUUGUUCAGUUGUAUGAGUUCUUUAUAUGUUUUGAAAGUUAACCCCUGAUAUUGGAAAAUAUUGGAAGUAUUUUCUCCCAUUUGAUGGGUUGUUUUUUUUUUUUUUGUCUAUGGUUUCCUUGCUGUGCAGAAGCUUUUUAGUUUAAUGUAGUCCCAUUUGUUAGUUUUUUCUUUUGUUUCCCUUUCCUAAGGAGACUUGAUAUUCAAAAAGAUACUGCUAAGACUGAUGUCAAAGAGUGUACUUCCUAAAUUUUCUUCUAAGAUCACUCCAGUGUUCAGGGCCAGCAUCUUCAAAUAUCUCUCUGCUUCCUCAACACAUCACCUUCUCCUCUACGUGUGUCAGAUCUCCUACUGCAUCCUCUUACAGGGACACAUGCAGUUAGAUUUAGGACCCACUUGGUUAAUCCAGGACAGUCUCCCCAUCUCAGCACCCUUAACUUACUUGUAUUACAAAGGCCCCUUUCCCAGAUAGAGUACCAUUUACAAGUUCUGGGGAUUCGGGCCUGAUAUCUUUGGGGAACAUUUUCCAGUCUCCCACAGAUUUGGAAACAGCAUGCCUAUGAUAUUGGCUCAUUGAAACUGUUACUGACCAAUGGGGAAGUUCGAAUAUUAGGAUGGAUAAACUAACAUAACAGAAUAAAAUUUGACCUUCUAUGGACAUUGACUUCCCAGACCUUGGCUUACCCACUUGUACCUCCGAACUUAAGGACUUGUCGUAUAAUCAGAGAUUACCUUAUAAUCGGAGAUUGCCUUACAUAUUUCUAUUUUCUGUAGCCCAGUGUUUUAAAAUUGCAGGCUAUGAAUCAUUAGUUUGUUUCGAAAUCAGUUUAGUGGGUUGUGACCAGCGUUAAAAGAUGUUAGAGGGCCAGCCCUGCUGGCCUAGUGGUUGAGUUUGGCAUGCUCUGCUUUGGCGGCCCAGGUUCUCUUCCCAGGCGCAGACAUACACCACUUGUCAGUGACCAUGCUGUGGCGGCAGUGGUUCACAUACAGAAAGUGUAAGAUUGGCAACAGGUGUUAGCUCUGGGUGAAUCUUCCUCACCAAAAAAAAAAAAAAAGAAAGAAAAAAGGAAAUAUCAGAGUACAUCACAUGUAGUGAGGGUAAUUAUUGUUUCAUGAAACAAUAUGUGUGUGUAUGUGUGUAUUGGACCAUAAUGUAAAAUAAUACUUCUUGCUCUGGGUUGUGGUAAAAUGGAAAGCCUCUGCUGUAAGCAAUUUUGUUAUUCAUCAUACUCUAUGGCAACUAUUCCUUGCCAUUAGACAGAGCAAGAAUUGAAGCUCACAGCAACUUCAACUUCUUAUUGUGUGGCACUGUCCAAGGGGCAGCUCUCCUCAAUACUUAUCCAUAGGAGGUGUCAUUAUCUGGAAAGGAAAGCAACUUCAACAGCUGAAAUAGUAGAGGCAUAGAGUUGGAGUGCAUUUAAUGGCAACCUUGGUAUUGGGAACUCUAGUAAAAUGUUACUUCUAGUAAAAUAGAAGUGGUGUUAAUGGGAGUCCUGUCUUUUACCUCAUCUCAUGGAGGAAGUUUCCAACUUUUUGCUGUUAAGUAUAAUGCUUGCUUAG